RNAcentral lists this long non-coding RNA (203 nucleotides) under Nicotiana benthamiana. Its description in RNAcentral is "long non-coding RNA (NBEN_LNC000365)". Lineage: Eukaryota; Viridiplantae; Streptophyta; Magnoliopsida; Solanales; Solanaceae. The record is from RNAcentral.
GAACCCUUCUUGAAACAUGUAGAGCCUUACUUUUUCAAUCUGGCCUACCUGUGUCUUUCUGGUGGGAUUGUCUGUUGACUACUACUUAUCUCCUUACAGAAUACCAUCCAGAAUUCUUCACAAUAAGUCUCCUAAUGAAAUUUUGUAUGGAAAGCUCCAUCCUAUUCUCAUUUGAGGGCAUUUGGGUGCCUUGCUUAUGCUGC